Non-coding RNA from Actinobacteria bacterium OK006, 74 nucleotides. The record is from Rfam. Lineage: Bacteria; Bacillati; Actinomycetota; Actinomycetes.
GAAGCGUCUACCCCGCAUUGAUACCUCCUGGUAUUGAGUGAGACGGGGACCUUCGCCCAGCAAUGGGCGAAUCA